RNAcentral lists this ribosomal RNA (1423 nucleotides) under Scinax sp. KAV00. Its description in RNAcentral is "partial 16S large subunit ribosomal RNA". It matches the Rfam family "Bacterial large subunit ribosomal RNA", at positions 437 to 2597 of the family's 2925-position model. The record is from RNAcentral. Lineage: Eukaryota; Metazoa; Chordata; Amphibia; Anura; Hylidae.
GCCGAAAAUCUAGCCCCCCCCCCCCAAAAAAACUUUUUCCUUCCUACCCACAAACCAAAACAUUUUGACAUUUUAGUAAAGGAGAUUAAAAAAUUUCUAGGAGCAAUAGACGCAGUACCGCAAGGGAAAGAUGAAAUAGCAAUGAAACACACUUAAGCACAAAAAAAUAAAGAUUAACCCUUGUACCUUUUGCAUCAUGGUUUAACUAGUCCAAUCAGGCAAAAAGAAAUGCAGUCUGACCCCCCGAAACUAAGCGAGCUACUUCGGAGCAGCCUCAUGGGCACACCCGUCUCUGUUGCAAAAGAGUGGAAUGACUCCAAAGUAGUGGCGAUAUACCUAACGAGCUUAGUGAUAGCUGGUUACUCGAGAAAUGGAUUUUAGUCCAGCCUAAAGUUGUAUUAACUUACCCUUAAACCAUAACCCAACUUUAGAGUCAAUCAAAUAAGGUACAGCCUAUUUGACCCAGGAUACAACCUCAAUUGACGGGUAAAACAAAACCAACACACCCUAGUAGGCCUAAGAGCAGCCACCUUUUAAAAAGCGUCACAGCUUAGCUAAACCCUAUUAUAAUCCCUACUUUAUCUCUUAACCCUCCUUAAGUAUCGAGUAAUUCUAUAACCUAUAGAAAAUUUUAUGUUAAAACUAGUAACAAGAAGAACGAGCUUCUCUUUAAUGUAAGUAUAAGUCAGAAAGGACAAACCACUGACAAUUAACGCCUUUGAACACAAAUUAGUAAAAGCACAAGAAAAGUCUUAUAUAACAUACGUUAACCUAACACAAGAGCAUUCCAAGAAAGAUUAAAAGAAAAGGAAGGAACUCGGCAAAUAUUAGCCCCGCCUGUUUACCAAAAACAUCGCCUCUUGACUAAAAAUAAGAGGUCCAGCCUGCCCACUGACACAUGUUCAACGGCCGCGGUAUCCUAACCGUGCGAAGGUAGCGUAAUCACUUGUUCUUUAAAUGAGGACUAGUAUGAACGGCAUCACGAGGGCUAUACUGUCUCCCUUUUCCAAUCAGUGAAACUAAUCUCCCCGUGAAGAAGCGGGGUUGACACUAUAAGACGAGAAGACCCUGUGGAGCUUUAAAUUUUUAUUCAAGUGCCCCCCCCCAUAGAAUUCCAACUAUACAAAUAAAUAUGGCACCAUGAAAAAAAAAUUUUAGGUUGGGGUGACCGCGGAGCACAAAAUAACCUCCACAUUGAAUUAGGCUUACAAGCCUUGAGCGACGGACUACAGCCCUAUGCACUAAAAAAUUAACACUCAUUGACCCAAUUAUUGAUCAACGAACCAAGUUACCCCAGGGAUAACAGCGCAAUCCUCUUCAAGAGCCCCUAUCGCCAAGAGGGUUUACGACCUCGAUGUUGGAUCAGGGUAUCCCAGUGGUGCAGCCGCUACUAAUGGUUCGUUUGUUCAACGAUUAAAACCCU